GUAGGGUGCGAGCGUUAAUCGGAAUUACUGGGCGUAAAGCGUGCGUAGGCGGUUCGUUAAGUUCGUUGUGAAAGCCCCGGGCUCAACCUGGGAACUGCAAUGGAAACUGGCGGGCUUGAGUGUGGCAGAGGGGGGUGGAAUUCCGCGUGUAGCAGUGAAAUGCGUAGAGAUGCGGAGGAACACCGAUGGCGAAGGCAGCCCCCUGGGCCAACACUGACGCUCAGGCACGAAAGCGUGGGGAGCAAACAGGAUUAGAUACCCUGGUAGUCCACGCCCUAAACGAUGCUCACUAGGUGUUGGGGAAGCGAUUCCUUGGUACCGUAGCUAACGCGUGAAGUGAGCCGCCUGGGGAGUACGGCCGCAAGGUUA
RNAcentral lists this ribosomal RNA (369 nucleotides) under uncultured bacterium. RNAcentral describes it as "bacterial SSU rRNA". It matches the Rfam family "Bacterial small subunit ribosomal RNA", at positions 527 to 896 of the family's 1533-position model. The record is from RNAcentral.